GACGAACGCUGGCGGCGUGCUUAACACAUGCAAGUCGAACGGAAAGGCCCUGCUUUUGUGGGGUGCUCGAGUGGCGAACGGGUGAGUAACACGUGAGUAACCUGCCCUUGACUUUGGGAUAACUUCAGGAAACUGGGGCUAAUACCGGAUAGGAGCUCCUGCUGCAUGGUGGGGGUUGGAAAGUUUCGGCGGUUGGGGAUGGACCCGCGGCUUAUCAGCUUGUUGGUGGGGUAGUGGCUUACCAAGGCUUUGACGGGUAGCCGGCCUGAGAGGGUGACCGGCCACAUUGGGACUGAGAUACGGCCCAGACUCCUACGGGAGGCAGCAGUGGGGAAUAUUGCACAAUGGGCGGAAGCCUGAUGCAGCAACGCCGCGUGCGGGAUGACGGCCUUCGGGUUGUAAACCGCUUUCGCCUGUGACGAAGCGUGAGUGACGGUAAUGGGUAAAGAAGCACCGGCUAACUACGU
RNAcentral lists this ribosomal RNA (467 nucleotides) under uncultured bacterium. RNAcentral's name for it is "partial 16S ribosomal RNA". It matches the Rfam family "Bacterial small subunit ribosomal RNA", at positions 28 to 506 of the family's 1533-position model. The record is from RNAcentral.